ACAAAAGGCCAUACCACCCUGAAUGUAUCCUAUCUCGUUUGAUCUCUGAAGCUAAGCAGGGUUGGGCCUGGUUAGUACUUGGAUGAGAGACCAUUUCUUAUUUA
This 104-nucleotide ribosomal RNA is filed under the name Felis catus (domestic cat). The record is from RNAcentral. Lineage: Eukaryota; Metazoa; Chordata; Mammalia; Carnivora; Felidae.